This 468-nucleotide ribosomal RNA is filed under the name uncultured bacterium. RNAcentral describes it as "partial 16S ribosomal RNA". It matches the Rfam family "Bacterial small subunit ribosomal RNA", at positions 28 to 507 of the family's 1533-position model. The record is from RNAcentral.
GACGAACGCUGGCGGCGUGCUUAACACAUGCAAGUCGAACGGAAAGGCCCUGCUUUUGUGGGGUGCUCGAGUGGCGAACGGGUGAGUAACACGUGAGUAACCUGCCCUUUACUUUGGGAUAACUUCAGGAAACUGGGGCUAAUACCUGAUAGGAGCUCCUGCUGCAUGGUGGGGGUUGGAAAGUUUCGGCGGUUGGGGAUGGACUCGCGGCUUAUCAGCUUGUUGGUGGGGUAGUGGCUUACCAAGGCUUUGACGGGUAGCCGGCCUGAGAGGGUGACCGGCCACAUUGGGACUGAGAUACGGACCAGACUCCUACGGGAGGCAGCAGUGGGGAAUAUUGCACAAUGGGCGGAAGCCUGAUGCAGCAACGCCGCGUGCGGGAUGACGGCCUUCGGGUUGUAAACCGCUUUCGCCUGUGACGAAGCGUGAGUGACGGUAAUGGGUAAAGAAGCACCGGCUAACUACGUG